Oncorhynchus keta (chum salmon) is the source of this 1328-nucleotide long non-coding RNA. RefSeq lists it as uncharacterized. The transcript has 3 exons. NCBI's taxonomy places the organism in Eukaryota, Metazoa, Chordata, Actinopteri, Salmoniformes, Salmonidae. The record is from RefSeq and is a predicted model, not a curated record.
UGUGGUAGUAGUGUUAGGGGAAGACAAAAUAGAGGAAGAAUAAGAGUCCCUGAUGAAAUCAGAGCCACAUUGUGGACCAUGUCAUAAACCAUGGUGUUACAAUGGAAGAGGCUGGUCAGAGAGUACAGCCUAAUGUAAACAGGUCCACAGUGUUAUAAACCAUGGUGUUAUAAUGGAAGAGGCUGGUCAGAGAGUACAGCCUAAUGUAAACAGGUCCACAGUGUUAUAAACCAUGGUGUUAUAAUGGAAGAGGCUGGUCAGAGAGUACAGCCUAAUGUAAACAGGUCCACAGUGUUAUAAACCAUGGUGUUAUAAUGGAAGAGGCUGGUCAGAGAGUACAGCCUAAUGUAAACAGGUCCACAGUGUUAUAAACCAUGGUGUUAUAAUGGAAGAGGCUGGUCAGAGAGUACAGCCUAAUGUAAACAGGUCCACAGUGUUAUAAACCAUGGUGUUAUAAUGGAAGAGGCUGGUCAGAGAGUACAGCCUAAUGUAAACAGGUCCACAGUGUUAUAAACCAUGGUGUUACAAUGGAAGAGGCUGGUCAGAGAGUACAGCCUAAUGUAAACAGGUCCACAGUGUUAUAAACCAUGGUGUUAUAAUGGAAGAGACUGGUCAGAGAGUACAGCCUAAUGUAAACAGGUCCACAGUGUUAUAAACCAUGGUGUUAUAAUGGAAGAGGCUGGUCAGAGAGUACAGCCUAAUGUAAACAGGUCCACAGUGUUAUAAACCAUGGUGUUACAAUGGAAGAGGCUGGUCAGAGAGUACAGCCUAAUGUAAACAGGUCCACAGUGUUAUAAACCAUGGUGUUAUAAUGGAAGAGACUGGUCAGAGAGUACAGCCUAAUGUAAACAGGUCCACAGUGUUAUAAACCAUGGUGUUAUAAUGGAAGAGGCUGGUCAGAGAGUACAGCCUAAUGUAAACAGGUCCACAGUGUCAUAAACCAUGGUGUUAUAAUGGAAGAGGCUGGUCGGAGAGUACAGCCUAAUGUAAACAGGUCCACAGUGUCAUAAACCAUGGUGUUAUAAUGGAAGAGGCUGGUCAGAGAGUACAGCCUAAUGUAAACAGGUCCACAGUGUCAUAAACCAUGGUGUUAAUUAAAAUGGAAGAGGCUGGUCAGAGAGUACAGCCUAAUGUUAACAGGUCCACAGUGUUAUAAACCAUGGUGUUAUAAUGGAAGAGGCUGGUCAGAGAGUACAGCCUAAUGAUAACAGGUCCAAAGUGUUAUAAACCAUGGUGUUAUAAUGGAAGAGGCUGGUCAGAGAGUACAGCCUAAUGUAAACAGGUCCACAGUGUCAUAAACCAUGUUGUUACAAUGGAAGAGACUGGUC